CCGAAUAGGGGAGCCGGAGGGAAACCGAGUCUUAAUUGGGCGUUAAGUUGCAGGGUAUAGACCCGAAACCCGGUGAUCUAGCCAUGGGCAGGUUGAAGGUUGGGUAACACUAACUGGAGGACCGAACCGACUAAUGUUGAAAAAUUAGCGGAUGACCUGUGGCUGGGGGUGAAAGGCCAAUCAAACCGGGAGAUAGCUGGUUCUCCCCGAAAGCUAUUUAGGUAGCGCCUCGUGAAUUCAUCUCCGGGGGUAGAGCACUGUUUCGGCUAGGGGGCCAUCCCGGCUUACCAACCCGAUGCAAACUGCGAAUACCGGAGAAUGUUAUCACGGGAGACACACGGCGGGUGCUAACGUCCGUCGUGAAGAGGGAAACAACCCAGACCGCCAGCUAAGGUCCCAAAGUCAUGGUUAAGUGGGAAACGAUGUGGGAAGGCCCAGACAGCCAGGAUGUUGGCUUAGAAGCAGCCAUCAUUUAAAGAAAGCGUAAUAGCUCACUGGUCGAGUCGGCCUGCGCGGAAGAUGUAACGGGGCUAAACCAUGCACCGAAGCUGCGGCAGCGAACGUAUCACCCAAGACAACUUUACGGAGUUGACGAUUGACGGAGCGAAGCGACGUCAAAGCGUUCAUUAAAGUCGAGUUGGCUUAGGGAUACGUUCGUUGGGUAGGGGAGCGUUCUGUAAGCCUGUGAAGGUGUGUCGUGAGGCAUGCUGGAGGUAUCAGAAGUGCGAAUGCUGACAUAAGUAACGAUAAAGCGGGUGAAAAGCCCGCUCGCCGGAAGACCAAGGGUUCCUGUCCAACGUUAAUCGGGGCAGGGUGAGUCGACCCCUAAGGCGAGGCCGAAAGGCGUAGUCGAUGGGAAACGGGUUAAUAUUCCCGUACUUGGUGUUACUGCGAAGGGGGGACGGAGAAGGCUAUGUUGGCCGGGCGACGGUUGUCCCGGUUUAAGCGUGUAGGUGUGUGUUCCAGGUAAAUCCGGUUCACUUUAACACUGAGGCGUGACGACGAGGCACUACGGUGCUGAAGCAACAAAUGCCCUGCUUCCAGGAAAAGCCUCUAAGCAUCAGGUAACACGAAAUCGUACCCCAAACCGACACAGGUGGUCAGGUAGAGAAUACCAAGGCGCUUGAGAGAACUCGGGUGAAGGAACUAGGCAAAAUGGUGCCGUAACUUCGGGAGAAGGCACGCUGACACGUAGGUGAAGUGAUUUACUCAUGGAGCUGAAGUCAGUCGAAGAUACCAGCUGGCUGCAACUGUUUAUUAAAAACACAGCACUGUGCAAACACGAAAGUGGACGUAUACGGUGUGACGCCUGCCCGGUGCCGGAAGGUUAAUUGAUGGGGUCAGCGUAAGCGAAGCUCCUGAUCGAAGCCCCGGUAAACGGCGGCCGUAACUAUAACGGUCCUAAGGUAGCGAAAUUCCUUGUCGGGUAAGUUCCGACCUGCACGAAUGGCGUAAUGAUGGCCAGGCUGUCUCCACCCGAGACUCAGUGAAAUUGAACUCGCUGUGAAGAUGCAGUGUACCCGCGGCAAGACGGAAAGACCCCGUGAACCUUUACUAUAGCUUGACACUGAACAUUGAGCCUUGAUGUGUAGGAUAGGUGGGAGGCUUUGAAGUGUGGACGCCAGUCUGCAUGGAGCCGACCUUGAAAUACCACCCUUUAAUGUUUGAUGUUCUAACGUGGACCCGUAAUCCGGGUUGCGGACAGUGUCUGGUGGGUAGUUUGACUGGGGCGGUCUCCUCCUAAAGAGUAACGGAGGAGCACGAAGGUUGGCUAAUCCUGGUCGGACAUCAGGAGGUUAGUGCAAUGGCAUAAGCCAGCUUGACUGCGAGCGUGACGGCGCGAGCAGGUGCGAAAGCAGGUCAUAGUGAUCCGGUGGUUCUGAAUGGAAGGGCCAUCGCUCAACGGAUAAAAGGUACUCCGGGGAUAACAGGCUGAUACCGCCCAAGAGUUCAUAUCGACGGCGGUGUUUGGCACCUCGAUGUCGGCUCAUCACAUCCUGGGGCUGAAGUAGGUCCCAAGGGUAUGGCUGUUCGCCAUUUAAAGUGGUACGCGAGCUGGGUUUAGAACGUCGUGAGACAGUUCGGUCCCUAUCUGCCGUGGGCGCUGGAGAACUGAGGGGGGCUGCUCCUAGUACGAGAGGACCGGAGUGGACGCAUCACUGGUGUUCGGGUUGUCAUGCCAAUGGCACUGCCCGGUAGCUAAAUGCGGAAGAGAUAAGUGCUGAAAGCAUCUAAGCACGAAACUUGCCCCGA
Molecule: ribosomal RNA, 2253 nt
Filed under: Salmonella enterica subsp. enterica
Lineage: Bacteria; Pseudomonadati; Pseudomonadota; Gammaproteobacteria; Enterobacterales; Enterobacteriaceae
Description: partial 23S ribosomal RNA
Rfam family: Bacterial large subunit ribosomal RNA
Source: RNAcentral